AGUGAACGCUGGCGGUAGGCCUAACACAUGCAAGUCGAACGGCAGCACAGUAAGAGCUUGCUCUUACGGGUGGCGAGUGGCGGACGGGUGAGGAAUACAUCGGAAUCUACUUUUUCGUGGGGGAUAACGUAGGGAAACUUACGCUAAUACCGCAUACGACCUACGGGUGAAAGCAGGGGAUCUUCGGACCUUGCGCGAUUGAAUGAGCCGAUGUCGGAUUAGCUAGUUGGCGGGGUAAAGGCCCACCAAGGGGACGAUCCGUAGCUGGGCUGAGAGGAUGAUCAGCCACACUGGAACUGAGACACGGUCCAGACUCCUACGGGAGGCCGCAGUGGGGAAUAUUGGACAAUGGGCGCAAGCCUGAUCCAGCCAUACCGCGUGGGUGAAGAAGGCCUUCGGGUUGUAAAGCCCUUUUGUUGGGAAAGAAAAGCAUCAGGUUAAUACCCCGCUGUUCGGACGGUACCCAAAGAAUAAGCACCGGCUAACUUCGG
Molecule: ribosomal RNA, 491 nt
Filed under: uncultured bacterium
Lineage: Bacteria
Description: partial 16S ribosomal RNA
Rfam family: Bacterial small subunit ribosomal RNA
Source: RNAcentral